This 723-nucleotide ribosomal RNA is filed under the name Salmonella enterica subsp. enterica serovar Javiana. RNAcentral describes it as "partial 23S ribosomal RNA". It matches the Rfam family "Bacterial large subunit ribosomal RNA", at positions 2211 to 2925 of the family's 2925-position model. The record is from RNAcentral. Lineage: Bacteria; Pseudomonadati; Pseudomonadota; Gammaproteobacteria; Enterobacterales; Enterobacteriaceae.
UGUUUGAUGUUCUAACGUGGACCCGUAAUCCGGGUUGCGGACAGUGUCUGGUGGGUAGUUUGACUGGGGCGGUCUCCUCCUAAAGAGUAACGGAGGAGCACGAAGGUUGGCUAAUCCUGGUCGGACAUCAGGAGGUUAGUGCAAUGGCAUAAGCCAGCUUGACUGCGAGCGUGACGGCGCGAGCAGGUGCGAAAGCAGGUCAUAGUGAUCCGGUGGUUCUGAAUGGAAGGGCCAUCGCUCAACGGAUAAAAGGUACUCCGGGGAUAACAGGCUGAUACCGCCCAAGAGUUCAUAUCGACGGCGGUGUUUGGCACCUCGAUGUCGGCUCAUCACAUCCUGGGGCUGAAGUAGGUCCCAAGGGUAUGGCUGUUCGCCAUUUAAAGUGGUACGCGAGCUGGGUUUAGAACGUCGUGAGACAGUUCGGUCCCUAUCUGCCGUGGGCGCUGGAGAACUGAGGGGGGCUGCUCCUAGUACGAGAGGACCGGAGUGGACGCAUCACUGGUGUUCGGGUUGUCAUGCCAAUGGCACUGCCCGGUAGCUAAAUGCGGAAGAGAUAAGUGCUGAAAGCAUCUAAGCACGAAACUUGCCCCGAGAUGAGUUCUCCCUGAGACUUUAGGUCUCCUGAAGGAACGUUGAAGACGACGACGUUGAUAGGCCGGGUGUGUAAGCGCAGCGAUGCGUUGAGCUAACCGGUACUAAUGAACCGUGAGGCUUAACCUUACA